RNAcentral lists this ribosomal RNA (809 nucleotides) under uncultured bacterium. RNAcentral's name for it is "bacterial SSU rRNA". It matches the Rfam family "Bacterial small subunit ribosomal RNA", at positions 59 to 862 of the family's 1533-position model. The record is from RNAcentral.
CAGUCGAGGGGCAUCAGGAAGAAGCUUGCUUUCUUUGCUGGCGACCGGCGCACGGGUGAGUAACACGUAUCCAACCUGCCCUUUACUCGGGGAUAGCCUUUCGAAAGAAAGAUUAAUACCCGAUGGCAUAAUGAUUCCGCAUGGUUUCAUUAUUAAAGGAUUCCGGUAAAGGAUGGGGAUGCGUUCCAUUAGGUUGUUGGUGAGGUAACGGCUCACCAAGCCUUCGAUGGAUAGGGGUUCUGAGAGGAAGGUCCCCCACAUUGGAACUGAGACACGGUCCAAACUCCUACGGGAGGCAGCAGUGAGGAAUAUUGGUCAAUGGGCGCUAGCCUGAACCAGCCAAGUAGCGUGAAGGAUGAAGGCUCUAUGGGUCGUAAACUUCUUUUAUAUAAGAAUAAAGUGCAGUAUGUAUACUGUUUUGUAUGUAUUAUAUGAAUAAGGAUCGGCUAACUCCGUGCCAGCAGCCGCGGUAAUACGGAGGAUCCGAGCGUUAUCCGGAUUUAUUGGGUUUAAAGGGAGCGUAGGUGGACUGGUAAGUCAGUUGUGAAAGUUUGCGGCUCAACCGUAAAAUUGCAGUUGAUACUGUCAGUCUUGAGUACAGUAGAGGUGGGCGGAAUUCGUGGUGUAGCGGUGAAAUGCUUAGAUAUCACGAAGAACUCCGAUUGCGAAGGCAGCUCACUGGACUGCAACUGACACUGAUGCUCGAAAGUGUGGGUAUCAAACAGGAUUAGAUACCCUGGUAGUCCACACAGUAAACGAUGAAUACUCGCUGUUUGCGAUAUACAGUAAGCGGCCAAGCGAAAGCAUUA